UACGGAGGGUGCGAGCGUUGUCCGGAAUCACUGGGCGUAAAGGGCGCGUAGGCGGCAUGCCAAGCGUGUGGUGAAAGCCCGGGGCUCAACCCCGGGUCGGCCGUGCGGACUGGCGUGCUCGAGCACUGUAGGGGCGGGUGGAAUUCCGGGUGUAGCGGGGGAAUGCGUAGAGAUCCGGAAGAACACCGGUGGCGAAGGCGGCCCGCUGGGCAGGAAGGCUCGCAAGAGCCGGCUGACGCUGAGGCGCGACAGCGUGGGGAGCAAACAGG
RNAcentral lists this ribosomal RNA (269 nucleotides) under uncultured bacterium. Its description in RNAcentral is "partial 16S ribosomal RNA". It matches the Rfam family "Bacterial small subunit ribosomal RNA", at positions 524 to 776 of the family's 1533-position model. The record is from RNAcentral.